Molecule: ribosomal RNA, 449 nt
Filed under: uncultured bacterium
Lineage: Bacteria
Description: partial 16S ribosomal RNA
Rfam family: Bacterial small subunit ribosomal RNA
Source: RNAcentral
AGCGAACGCUGGCGGCAGGCCUAACACAUGCAAGUCGAACGAACUCUUCGGAGUUAGUGGCGGACGGGUGAGUAACACGUGGGAACGUGCCUUUAGGUUCGGAAUAACUCAGGGAAACUUGUGCUAAUACCGAAUGUGCCCUUCGGGGGAAAGAUUUAUCGCCUUUAGAGCGGCCCGCGUCUGAUUAGCUAGUAGGUGAGGUAGAGGCUCACCAAGGCGACGAUCAGUAGCUGGUCUGAGAGGAUGAUCAGCCACAUUGGGACUGAGACACGGCCCAAACUCCUACGGGAGGCAGCAGUGGGGAGUCUUGCGCAAUGGGCGAAAGCCUGACGCAGCCAUGCCGCGUGAAUGAUGAAGGUCUUAGGAUUGUAAAAUUCUUUCACCGGGGACGAUAAUGACGGUACCCGGAGAAGAAGCCCCGGCUAACUUCGUGCCAGCAGCAGCCGCGG